RNAcentral lists this unclassified non-coding RNA (294 nucleotides) under uncultured fungus. Its description in RNAcentral is "sequence contains ITS1". Lineage: Eukaryota; Fungi. The record is from RNAcentral.
UAGGACUACAGGGGUUUCUAAUCCUGUUUGAUCCCCACGCUUUCGUGCCUCAGUGUCAAUGCAAGCUUAGUGAACUGCCUUCGCAAUCGGUGUUCUAUUACAUAUCUAAGCAUUUCACCGCUACAUGUAAUAUUCCAUCCACCUCAACUUGAUUCAAGUCCGUCAGUAUCAAUGGCAAUUCUGGAGUUGAGCUCCAGGCUUUCACCGCUGACUUAACAGACCACCUACGCACCCUUUAAACCCAGUGAAUCCGGAUAACGCUUGCACCCUCCGUAUUACCGCGGCGGCUGGCAC